UACGGGGGGGGCAAGCGUUGUUCGGAAUUACUGGGCGUAAAGGGCUCGUAGGUGGCCAACUAAGUCAGACGUGAAAUCCCUCGGCUUAACCGGGGAACUGCGUCUGAUACUGGCAGGCUUGAAUUCGGGAGAGGGAUGCGGAAUUCCAGGUGUAGCGGUGAAAUGCGUAGAUAUCUGGAGGAACACCGGUGGCGAAGGCGGCAUCCUGGACCGGCAUUGACGCUGAGGCGCGAAAGCCAGGGGAGCAAACGGG
This 253-nucleotide ribosomal RNA is filed under the name uncultured bacterium. RNAcentral describes it as "partial 16S ribosomal RNA". It matches the Rfam family "Bacterial small subunit ribosomal RNA", at positions 524 to 776 of the family's 1533-position model. The record is from RNAcentral.